Molecule: ribosomal RNA, 492 nt
Filed under: uncultured bacterium
Lineage: Bacteria
Description: partial 16S ribosomal RNA
Rfam family: Bacterial small subunit ribosomal RNA
Source: RNAcentral
AGUGAACGCUGGCGGUAGGCCUAACACAUGCAAGUCGAACGGCAGCACAGUAAGAGCUUGCUCUUACGGGUGGCGAGUGGCGGACGGGUGAGGAAUACAUCGGAAUCUACUUUUUCGUGGGGGAUAACGUAGGGAAACUUACGCUAAUACCGCAUACGACCUACGGGUGAAAGCAGGGGAUCUUCGGACCUUGCGCGAUUGAAUUAGCCGAUUUCGGAUUAGCUAGUUGGCGGGGUAAAGGCCCACCAAGGCGACGAUCCGUAGCUGGUCUGAGAGGAUGAUCAGCGGAACGGGAACUGAGACACGGUCAAGACUCCUACGGGAGGCAGCAGUGGGGAAUAUUGGACAAUGGGCGCAAGCAUGAUCCAGCCAUACCGCGUGGGUGAAGAAGGCCUUCGGGUUGUAAAGCCCUUUUGUUGGGAAAGAAAAGCAGCAGGUUAAUACCCCGCUGUUCUGACGGUACCCAAAGAAUAAGCACCGGCUAACUUCGUG